This 253-nucleotide ribosomal RNA is filed under the name uncultured bacterium. RNAcentral's name for it is "partial 16S ribosomal RNA". It matches the Rfam family "Bacterial small subunit ribosomal RNA", at positions 524 to 776 of the family's 1533-position model. The record is from RNAcentral.
UACAGAGGUCCCAAGCGUUGUUCGGAUUCACUGGGCGUAGAGGGUGCGUAGGCGGUCGGGUAAGUCUGAUGUGAAAUCUCACAGCUUAACUGUGAAACUGCAUUGGAUACUAUCCGGCUUGAGGAAUGGAGGGGAGACUGGAAUACUUGGUGUAGCAGUGAAAUGCGUAGAUAUCAAGUGGAACACCAGUGGCGAAGGCGAGUCUCUGGACAUUUCCUGACGCUGAGGCACGAAAGCCAGGGGAGCAAACGGG